RNAcentral lists this ribosomal RNA (99 nucleotides) under uncultured bacterium. RNAcentral's name for it is "partial 16S ribosomal RNA". It matches the Rfam family "Bacterial small subunit ribosomal RNA", at positions 1384 to 1482 of the family's 1533-position model. The record is from RNAcentral.
UACACACCGCCCGUCACGCCAUGGAAGCUGGGGGGACCUGAAGUCGGUGGGCCAACCGCAAGGAGGCAGCCGCCAAAGGUCAAUUCAGUGACUGGGGCG